This 497-nucleotide ribosomal RNA is filed under the name uncultured bacterium. RNAcentral's name for it is "partial 16S ribosomal RNA". It matches the Rfam family "Bacterial small subunit ribosomal RNA", at positions 28 to 507 of the family's 1533-position model. The record is from RNAcentral.
GAUGAACGCUGGCGGCGUGCCUAAUACAUGCAAGUCGAGCGAACAGACGAGGAGCUUGCUCCUCUGACGUUAGCGGCGGACGGGUGAGUAACACGUGGAUAACCUACCUAUAAGACUGGGAUAACUUCGGGAACCCGGAGCUAAUACCGGAUAAUAUAUUGAACCGCAUGGUUCAAUAGUGAAAGACGGUUUUGCUGUCACUUAUAGAUGGAUCCGCGCCGCAUUAGCUAGUUGGUAAGGUAACGGCUUACCAAGGCAACGAUGCGUAGCCGACCUGAGAGGGUGAUCGGCCACACUGGAACUGAGACACGGUCCAGACUCCUACGGGAGGCAGCAGUAGGGAAUCUUCCGCAAUGGGCGAAAGCUUGACGGAGCAACGCCGCGUGAGUGAUGAAGGUCUUCGGAUCGUAAAACUCUGUUAUUAGGGAAGAACAAAUGUGUAAGUAACUAUGCACGUCUUGACGGUACCUAAUCAGAAAGCCACGGCUAACUACGUG